UACGGAGGGUGCGAGCGUUAAUCGGAAUUACUGGGCGUAAAGGGUGCGUAGGUUGUUGUAUAAGUUAUCUGUGAAAUCCCUGGGCUUAACCUGGGCAGGUCAGAUAAGACUGUAUGACUCGAGUAUAGGAGAGGGUAGUGGAAUUUCCGGUGUAGCGGUGAAAUGCGUAGAGAUCGGAAGGAACACCAGUGGCGAAGGCGGCUACCUGGCCUAAUACUGACACUGAGGCACGAAAGCGUGGGGAGCAAACAGGAUUAGAUACCCUGGUAGUCCACGCUGUAAACGAUGUCAACUAGCUGUUGGUCAUAUGAAUAUGAUUAGUGGCGAAGCUAACGCGAUAAGUUGACCGCCUGGGGAGUACGGUCGCAAGAUUAAA
This 376-nucleotide ribosomal RNA is filed under the name uncultured bacterium. RNAcentral's name for it is "bacterial SSU rRNA". It matches the Rfam family "Bacterial small subunit ribosomal RNA", at positions 524 to 898 of the family's 1533-position model. The record is from RNAcentral.